AUGUCAACAUGAGCUAAUCUGGGAUUACAAAAUAGCGCCUCUCCAUUAAUAGAACAAUUAACCUUCUUUCAUGAUCAUACAUUACUAAUUUUAGUAAUAAUUACAGUUCUAGUAGGUUAUUUAAUAUUCAUAUUAUUUUUUAACAACUACACAAAUCGAUUUUUACUACACGGACAAACCAUUGAAAUAAUUUGAACAAUCCUGCCCGCUAUUAUUCUUUUAUUUAUUGCUUUCCCAUCCCUCCGGUUAUUAUAUUUACUAGAUGAAAUUAAUGACCCGGCAAUCACCCUAAAGUCAAUUGGACACCAAUGAUACUGAAGUUAUGAGUAUUCAGAUUUUAUUGACUUAGAAUUUGACUCUUAUAUAGUGCCAACUAAUGAACUUUCAAUAGAUGGAUUUCGGCUACUAGACGUAGACAACCGAGUAAUUAUCCCAACAAAUACACAAAUUCGUGUAUUAGUGACUGCCGCUGAUGUAAUUCAUUCUUGAACGGUACCUGCCCUAGGUGUAAAAGUAGACGGAACCCCAGGACGAUUAAAUCAAACUAACUUUACAGUUAGCCGCCCUGGGUUAUUUUUUGGACAAUGUUCAGAAAUUUGUGGGGCCAACCACAGCUUUAUACCAAUUGUAAUUGAAAGUACCCCUCCAACCCACUUCAUUAAAUGAAUUUCU
RNAcentral lists this ribosomal RNA (672 nucleotides) under Rhaphiomidas moapa. Its description in RNAcentral is "partial 16S ribosomal RNA". The record is from RNAcentral. Lineage: Eukaryota; Metazoa; Arthropoda; Insecta; Diptera; Mydidae.